AGUAACAUCCGGAAACGGGUGCUAAUACCGCAUAGUUUUCUUGAUCGCAUGAUUGAGAAGGAAAGACGGCCUUUGUGCUGUCGCUUAUGGAUGGACCCGCGGCGUAUUAGUUAGUUGGUGAGGUAAUGGCUCACCAAGACGAUGAUACGUAGCCGACCUGAGAGGGUGAUCGGCCACAUUGGGACUGAGACACGGCCCAAACUCCUACGGGAGGCAGCAGUAGGGAAUCUUCCGCAAUGGACGAAAGUCUGACGGAGCAACGCCGCGUGAGUGAAGAAGGUUUUUUCCGGAUCGUAAAACUCUGUUGUCAGAGAAGAACAAGUUGGAGAGUAACUGCUCCAGCCUUGACGGUAUCUGACCAGAAAGCCACGGCUAACUACGUGCCAGCCGCUGC
This 394-nucleotide ribosomal RNA is filed under the name uncultured bacterium. Its description in RNAcentral is "bacterial SSU rRNA". It matches the Rfam family "Bacterial small subunit ribosomal RNA", at positions 142 to 518 of the family's 1533-position model. The record is from RNAcentral.